GAAAUGCGAUAAGUAAUGUGAAUUGCAAAAUUCAGUGAAUCAUCGAAUCUUUGAACGCACAUUGCGCCCGCCAGUAUUCUGGCGGGCAUGCCUGUCCGAGCGUCAUUUCAACCAUCAAGCCCCCGGGCUUGUGUUGGGGACCUGCGGCUGCCCGCAGGCCCUGAAAACCAGUGGCGGGCUCGCUGUCACACCGAGCGUAGUAGCAAUCACCUCGCUCAGGGCGUGCUGCGGGUUCCGGCCGUUAAACAGCCUUACAAAACCCAAGGUUGACCUCGGAUCAGGUAGGAAGACCCGCUGAACUUAAGC
Molecule: unclassified non-coding RNA, 306 nt
Filed under: plant metagenome
Description: partial contains 5.8S ribosomal RNA, internal transcribed spacer 2, and large subunit ribosomal RNA
Rfam family: 5.8S ribosomal RNA (bases 1-105)
Source: RNAcentral